AGCUCCAGUAGCGUAUAUUAAAGUUGUUGCAGUUAAAAAGCUCGUAGUUGGAUUUCUGGCUUGAGACGCCUGGUCCGCCAGGGUUACCUGUGUGAGUACCGGUGUGUCUCUGCCAUCCUUCUGGAUAGCGUGUCUACCUUUCAUUAGGCCGGGCUCGUGCUCCAGAUCUUUUACUUUGAAAAAAUUAGAGUGUUUAAAGCAAGCUUGCGCUAUGAAUACAUUAGCAUGGAAUAAUAACUUAGGACUUUGGUUCUAUUUUGUUGGUUUCUAGGACUGAAGUAAUGAUUGAUAGGGAUAGUUGGGGGUGCUAGUAUUCAGCGGCCAGAGGUGAAAUUCUUGGAUUCGCUGAAGACUAACUUAUGCGAAAGCAUUCACCAAGGAUGUCUUCUUUAAUCAAGAA
RNAcentral lists this ribosomal RNA (400 nucleotides) under phytoplankton environmental sample. RNAcentral describes it as "partial small subunit ribosomal RNA". It matches the Rfam family "Eukaryotic small subunit ribosomal RNA", at positions 587 to 983 of the family's 1831-position model. The record is from RNAcentral.